CGGCUAACUUCGUGCCAGCAGCCGCGGUAAUACGAAGGUCCCAAGCGUUGUUCGGAAUCACUGGGCGUAAAGCGUGUGUAGGCUGCGCGGAAAGUCAAAUGUGAAAGCCCGGGGCUCAACCUCGGAACUGCAUUCGAUACUCCCGUGCUAGAGUAAUGGAGAGGUAAGUGGAAUUCCUGGUGUAGCAGUGAAAUGCGUGGAUAUCAGGAGGAACAUCAAUGGCGAAGGCAACUUACUGGACAUUUACUGACGCUCAGACACGAAGGCUAGGGUAGCGAAAGGGAUUAGAUACCCCUGUAGUCCUAGCAGUAAACGGUGCUCGCUUGGUGUGGGAGGAUUCGACCCCUUCUGUGCCGGAGCUAACGCGUUAAGCGAGCCGCCUGGGAAGUACGGUCGCAAGACUAAAACUCAAAGAAAUUGACGGGGACCCGCACAAGCGGUGGAGUAUGUGGCUUAAUUCGAUGCAACGCGAAGAACCUUACCUAGGCUUGACAUGCUUGUCGUACUCUCCCGAAAAGGAGAGGUCACUUCGGGUGGACAAUGCACAGGUGCUGCAUGGCCGUCGUCAGCUCGUGUCGUGAGAUGUUUGGUUAAGUCCAGCACCGAGCGCAACCCCUGUGAACUGUUGCCAGCGCGUAAAGGCGGGGACUCUG
RNAcentral lists this ribosomal RNA (653 nucleotides) under uncultured Verrucomicrobiota bacterium. RNAcentral describes it as "bacterial SSU rRNA". It matches the Rfam family "Bacterial small subunit ribosomal RNA", at positions 494 to 1142 of the family's 1533-position model. Lineage: Bacteria; Pseudomonadati; Verrucomicrobiota. The record is from RNAcentral.